UCACAAUGGUCAGGAUUUCUACAGGGAAACACCAAUUUUCAAACCAAAGCAGGAAUUUGCAUUUGCUAGAUCAGAAGCAGUUUGAAGUUUUGAAAUGGCUGAGAUUACUAGGAAAAACUUAAUGAUUUCGACGAAGGAAUCAUGCUGAUAACUCCACCUGAUGCAGAGAUAUGCAUUGGUUUAAAGGUUAACGGAGAUGAGGGGAAACAAGAAUUAGGAGCUUGGCGCCUUCUGCUGGAAAUUCAAAGGAAAACAAAGCUAGAGAAAUGGUUCUUUUCAUCAGAGAAUUUUUUUUAUCUGUUAUGGCUUAGUUACAUAUUAUUUCACUUACUAUCUUUCUAGAGGAGAUUCCUUUAUGCUCAUCCGUGAUGGCAUGACCAGCCCCCUCUUCCUUUUAUUCUUUCAAAUUUUCUU
RNAcentral lists this long non-coding RNA (414 nucleotides) under Lotus japonicus. RNAcentral describes it as "long non-coding RNA (LJAP_LNC000970)". The record is from RNAcentral. Lineage: Eukaryota; Viridiplantae; Streptophyta; Magnoliopsida; Fabales; Fabaceae.